GACGAACGCUGGCGGCGUGCUUAACACAUGCAAGUCGAACGGAAAGGCCCUGCUUUUGUGGGGUGCUCGAGUGGCGAACGGGUGAGUAACACGUGAGUAACCUGCCCUUGACUUUGGGAUAACUUCAGGAAACUGGGGCUAAUACCGGAUAGGAGCUCCUGCUGCAUGGUGGGGGUUGGAAAGUUUCGGCGGUUGCGGAUGGACUCGCGGCUGAUGAGCUUGUUGGUGGGGUAGUGGCUUACCAAGGCUUGGACGGGUAGCCGGCCUGAGAGGGUGACCGGCCACAUUGGGACUGAGAUACGGCCCAGACUCCUACGGGAGGCAGCAGUGGGGAAUAUUGCACAAUGGGCGGAAGCCUGAUGCAGCAACGCCGCGUGCGGGAUGACGGCCUUCGGGUUGUAAACCGCUUUCGCCUGUGACGAAGCGUGAGUGACGGUAAUGGGUAAAGAAGCACCGGCUAACUACGUG
This 468-nucleotide ribosomal RNA is filed under the name uncultured bacterium. RNAcentral's name for it is "partial 16S ribosomal RNA". It matches the Rfam family "Bacterial small subunit ribosomal RNA", at positions 28 to 507 of the family's 1533-position model. The record is from RNAcentral.